This 892-nucleotide ribosomal RNA is filed under the name uncultured bacterium. RNAcentral's name for it is "bacterial SSU rRNA". It matches the Rfam family "Bacterial small subunit ribosomal RNA", at positions 57 to 956 of the family's 1533-position model. The record is from RNAcentral.
GCAGUCGAGGGGUAUAGGUUUUCGGACCUAGAGGCCGGCGCACGGGUGCGUAACGCGUAUGCAAUCUACCUUUUACAGAGGGAUAGCCCAGAGAAAUUUGGAUUAAUACCUCAUAGUAUUAUUGAAUGGCAUCAUUUAAUAAUUAAAGUCACAACGGUAAAAGAUGAGCAUGCGUCCCAUUAGCUUGUUGGUAAGGUAACGGCUUACCAAGGCAACGAUGGGUAGGGGUCCUGAGAGGGAGAUCCCCCACACUGGUACUGAGACACGGACCAGACUCCUACGGGAGGCAGCAGUGAGGAAUAUUGGUCAAUGGGCGCAAGCCUGAACCAGCCAUGCCGCGUGCAGGAUGACGGUCCUAUGGAUUGUAAACUGCUUUUGUACAGGAAGAAACAGUUCUACGUGUAGAACCUUGACGGUACUGUAAGAAUAAGGAUCGGCUAACUCCGUGCCAGCAGCCGCGGUAAUACGGAGGAUCCAAGUGUUAUCCGGAAUCAUUGGGUUUAAAGGGUCCGUAGGCGGUUUUGUAAGUCAGUGGUGAAAGCCCAUCGCUCAACGGUGGAACGGCCAUUGAUACUGCAAGACUUGAAUUAUUGGGAAGUAACUAGAAUAUGUAGUGUAGCGGUGAAAUGCUUAGAGAUUACAUGGAAUACCAAUUGCGAAGGCAGGUUACUACCAAUAUAUUGACGCUGAUGGACGAAAGCGUGGGGAGCGAACAGGAUUAGAUACCCUGGUAGUCCACGCCGUANACGAUGGAUACUAGCUGUUCGGAGCAAUCUGAGUGGCUAAGCGAAAGUGAUAAGUAUCCCACCUGGGGAGUACGUUCGCAAGAAUGAAACUCAAAGGAAUUGACGGGGGCCCGCACAAGCGGUGGAGCAUGUGGUUUAAUUCGAUG